RNAcentral lists this ribosomal RNA (218 nucleotides) under uncultured bacterium. RNAcentral describes it as "partial 16S ribosomal RNA". It matches the Rfam family "Bacterial small subunit ribosomal RNA", at positions 524 to 740 of the family's 1533-position model. The record is from RNAcentral.
UACGUAGGCAGCAAGCGUUGUUCGGAAUUACUGGGCGUAAAGAGUGUGUAGGCGGUUUUCUAAGUUUGGUGUGAAAUCUCCCGGCUUAACUGGGAGGGUGCGCCGAAAACUGGAAGGCUUGAGUGCCGGAGAGGAUAGCGGAAUUCCCGGUGUAGCGGUGAAAUGCGUAGAUAUCGGGGAGGAACACCUGUGGUGUAGACGGCUAUCUGGACGGCGAC